This 391-nucleotide ribosomal RNA is filed under the name uncultured bacterium. RNAcentral's name for it is "bacterial SSU rRNA". It matches the Rfam family "Bacterial small subunit ribosomal RNA", at positions 32 to 403 of the family's 1533-position model. The record is from RNAcentral.
AAUCAACGCUGGCGGCGUGCCUAACACAUGCAAGUCGAACGCGAAAGCCCCUUCGGGGGUAAGUAGAGUGGCGUCCGGGUGAGUAACACGUAGGUAAUCUACCUUCGGGUGGGGAAUAACUCGCCGAAAGGCGAGCUAAUACCGCAUAAUGCAGCGGCACCUAAUGGUGAUUAGUUGUUAAAGCGGGGGAUCGUAAGACCUCGCGCCUGAAGAGGAGCCUGCGGCAGAUUAGCUAGUGGUGAGGUAAUGGCUCACCAAGGCUUCGAUCUGUAGCUGGUCUGAGAGGACGGCCAGCCACACUGGCACUGACACACGGGCCAGACUCCUACGGGAAGGCAGCAGUGGGGAAUUUUGGGCAAUGGGCGCAAGCCUGACCCAGCAACGCCGCGUG